Caerostris extrusa is the source of this 486-nucleotide non-coding RNA. Lineage: Eukaryota; Metazoa; Arthropoda; Arachnida; Araneae; Araneidae. The record is from the annotation of a GenBank genome assembly.
UGGGAAGGCGAAUCCGCGAAUGGCUCAUUAACUCGGUUAUGGUUCCUUAGAUCGUACCUUACUACAUGGAUAACUGUGGCAAUUCUAGAGUUAAUACAUGCAGCAGAGCUCCGACCCGGGAACGAGCGCUUUUUAUUAGACCAAAAACCAAUCGGGCCUCGGGUCCGUUCUCCGUGGCUCUGUAUAACUUUGGGCUGAUCGCACGGGCUCGUCCCGGCGACGUAUCUUUCAAGUGUCUGCCUUAUCAACUGUCGAUGGUAGGUUAUGCGCCUACCAUGGUCGUAACGGGUGACGAAUAGGGUUCGAUUCCGGAGAGGGAGCCUGAGAAACGGCUGCCACCACAUCCAAGGAAGGCAGUAGACGCGCACAUUGCCCACUCCCGGAACGGGGAGGUAGUAACGAAAAAUAACAAUACGGGACUCGUGAGACCCCGUAAUUGGAAUGAGAGUACACUUUAAAUCCUUUAACGAGGAUCCAUUGGAGGGC